This 147-nucleotide small nucleolar RNA is filed under the name Oryza sativa Japonica Group (Japanese rice). Its description in RNAcentral is "snoRNA snoJ26". It matches the Rfam family "Small nucleolar RNA J26". From Rfam's summary of the family: J26 is a member of the C/D class of snoRNA which contain the C (UGAUGA) and D (CUGA) box motifs. Most of the members of the box C/D family function in directing site-specific 2'-O-methylation of substrate RNAs. The record is from Rfam by way of RNAcentral. Lineage: Eukaryota; Viridiplantae; Streptophyta; Magnoliopsida; Poales; Poaceae.
UGGAAAAAAACAACACAGUGGGUAAGUUAGGAGAAGGUGACUUUUUCUCUUUUUCUGAAGGUUGGAGCUCUGCCAUUAUAUUAAGAAGUUGGUUUCAGACUACAAUUCAAGGAUAUUACAUGGAACAAAAAGCAACUGAGCUUUCAC